UUAAACUGUUCCAUAAUUGGAUACCAGAAUAUUCUUGUCUGCCUGCAAUAAUUGCAUUUGAUAAGCAUUCUUUUCCGAUACGCUUUCUUUUCUAAUAUGUAGUCACAUUCUCAUUUAACUGAUCAAUUUUAUACUUAUACCCAAUCUUAUCAUCUUAGCUCACAAUUAAAUCUUUAAACAAAUUAUUUGACCUAACAUUCAAACAAAAAUUAACACUUCUUUGCAGGCGGCGACAACAUCAAAACAUGACCACUCUGUACAGUGAUUUAACCAAAACAAACAUUGUCAUAUGUUUUCUGGU
RNAcentral lists this long non-coding RNA (301 nucleotides) under Vigna radiata. Its description in RNAcentral is "long non-coding RNA (VRAD_LNC007924)". The record is from RNAcentral. Lineage: Eukaryota; Viridiplantae; Streptophyta; Magnoliopsida; Fabales; Fabaceae.